AGAGUUUGAUCAUGGCUCAGAAACGAACGCUGGCGGCGUGGAUAAGACAUGCAAGUCGAGCGAGAUUUUUCGUUGUAGCAAUACGAUGGAAAGUCUAGCGGCGAACGGGUGCUUAACACGUGGGCAACCUGCCAUGAAGUGGGGGAUAGCUCGCCGAAAGGCGAAUUAAUACCGCAUGUGAUUAGAGAGGACAUCCUUUCGAAAUUAAAGUCGGGGCAACCUGACGCUUCUUGUGGGGCCCGCGGCCUAUCAGCUAGUUGGUGAGGUAACGGCUCACCAAGGCUUUGACGGGUAGCUGGUCUGAGAGGACGACCAGCCACACUGGGACUGAGACACGGCCCAGACACCUACGGGUGGCAGCAGUCGAGAAUUUUUGACAAUGGGGGAAACCCUGAUCGAGCGACGCCGCGUGGAGGAUGAAGGUCUUCGGAUUGUAAACUCCUGUCAUUGGGGAACAAGGUGCAUACGUUAACUGCGUGUGUAUUGAUAGUACCCGAAGAGGAAGGGACGGCUAACUCUGUGCCAGCAGCCGCGGUAAUACAGAGGUCUCAAGCGUUGUUCGGAUUCAUUGGGCGUAAAGGGUGCGUAGGCGGCGCGGUAAGUCGGGUGUGAAAUCUCGGAGCUUAACUCCGAAACUGCAUUCGAUACUGCCGUGCUUGAGGACUGGAGAGGAGACUGGAAUUUACGGUGUAGCGGUGAAAUGCGUAGAUAUCGUAAGGAAGACCAGUGGCGAAGGCGGGUCUCUGGACAGUUCCUGACGCUGAGGCACGAAGGUCAGGGGAGCAAACGGGAUUAGAUACCCCCGUAGUCC
This 811-nucleotide ribosomal RNA is filed under the name uncultured bacterium. Its description in RNAcentral is "bacterial SSU rRNA". It matches the Rfam family "Bacterial small subunit ribosomal RNA", at positions 8 to 796 of the family's 1533-position model. The record is from RNAcentral.